RNAcentral lists this small RNA (104 nucleotides) under Marmota monax (woodchuck). Lineage: Eukaryota; Metazoa; Chordata; Mammalia; Rodentia; Sciuridae. The record is from RNAcentral.
GCUGGGUGUGGUGGUGCAUGCCUGUAAUCCCAGGGACUUGGGAGGCUGAGGCGCAUGGAUCCUGAAGUUUGAGGCUGGCUUUGGCGAUUUAGACCUUGUCUCUU